GACGAACGCUGGCGGCGUGCUUAACACAUGCAAGUCGAACGGAAAGGCCCUGCUUUUGUGGGGUGCUCGAGUGGCGAACGGGUGAGUAACACGUGAGUAACCUGCCCUUGACUUUGGGAUAACUUCAGGAAACUGGGGCUAAUACCGGGUAGGAGCUCCUGCUGCAUGGUGGGGGUUGGAAAGUUUCGGCGGUUGGGGAUGGACUCGCGGCUUAUCAGCUUGUUGGUGGGGUAGUGGCUUACCAAGGCUUUGACGGGUAGCCGGCCUGAGAGGGUGACCGGCCACAUUGGGACUGAGAUACGGCCCAGACUCCUACGGGAGGCAGCAGGGGGGAAUAUUGCACAAUGGGCGGAAGCCUGAUGCAGCAACGCCGCGUGCGGGAUGACGGCCUUCGGGUUGUAAACCGCUUUCGCCUGUGACGAAGCGUGAGUGACGGUAAUGGGUAAAGAAGCACCGGCUACUACGUG
This 467-nucleotide ribosomal RNA is filed under the name uncultured bacterium. RNAcentral's name for it is "partial 16S ribosomal RNA". It matches the Rfam family "Bacterial small subunit ribosomal RNA", at positions 28 to 507 of the family's 1533-position model. The record is from RNAcentral.